CGCGAAAACUUUACAAUGCUGGCAACAGCGAUAAGGGAACCUCGAGUGCCAGGUUACAAAUCUGACUGUCGAGAUGCCUAAAAAGCAUUUCAUAGCAAGGGCCGGGCAAGACCGGUGCCAGCCGCCGCGGUAACACCGGCGGCUCGAGCGGUAACCGUUAUUAUUGGGUCUAAAGGGCCUGUAGCCGGCCGGAUAAGUCUCUUGGGAAAUCUGGCAGCUCAACUGUCAGGCUUUCAGGAGAUACUGUCUGGCUCGAGGCCGGGAGAGGUGAGAGGUACUUCAGGGGUAGGGGUGAAAUCUUGUAAUCCUUGAAGGACCACCAGUGGCGAAGGCGUCUCACCAGAACGGACCUGACGGCAAGGGACGAAAGCUAGGGGCACGAACCGGAUUAGAUACCCGGGUAGUCCUAGCCGUACACGAUACUCGCUAGGUGUCGGCCACGGUGCGACCGUGGUCGGUGCCGUAGGGAAGCCGUGAAGCGAGCCACCUGGGAAGUACGGCCGCAAGGCUGAAACUUAAAGGAAUUGGCGGGGGAGCACCACAACGGGUGGAGCUUGCGGUUUAAUUGGAUUCAACGCCGG
This 581-nucleotide ribosomal RNA is filed under the name uncultured methanogenic archaeon. Its description in RNAcentral is "bacterial SSU rRNA". It matches the Rfam family "Archaeal small subunit ribosomal RNA", at positions 340 to 921 of the family's 1478-position model. The record is from RNAcentral. Lineage: Archaea; Methanobacteriati; Methanobacteriota.